This 2423-nucleotide non-coding RNA is filed under the name Hypsiboas sp. CFBH5738. RNAcentral's name for it is "partial contains 12S ribosomal RNA, tRNA-Val, and 16S ribosomal RNA". The stretch from base 1060 to 2423 matches the Rfam family "Bacterial large subunit ribosomal RNA", at positions 1 to 2597 of the family's 2925-position model. The record is from RNAcentral. Lineage: Eukaryota; Metazoa; Chordata; Amphibia; Anura; Hylidae.
UGGUCCUAGCCUUGAAGUCAGUUUUUACUUUACUUAUACAUGCAAGUCUCCGCACCCCUGUGAAAACGCCCUUAAACCCCCUUUAGGGAAAAGGAGCUGGUAUCAGGCACAACACUUAGCCCAAAACACCUAGCUACGCCACAUCCACAAGGGACCUCAGCAGUAAUUAACAUUGAACAUAAGCGCCAGCUUGAUUCAGUUAAAGUAAAAAGGGCAGGCAAAUUUGGUGCCAGCCGCCGCGGUUACACCAUGUGGCCCAAAUUGACUUCUUUCGGCGUAAAGAGUGAUUAAAGCACUUUUAUUCUGUAGUUUAACUAAAAUUAAGUCGUGAUAAGCUUGUAUUUAAGAAAUCCAAAAACGAAAGUUACUACACCCAAAACAACUUGAACUCACAAUAGCUAAGGAACAAACUAGGAUUAGAGACCCUACUAUGCUUAGCCACAAACUUUUAAUUACACCCCAAACGCCCGGGAACUACGAGCAAAGCUUAAAACCCAAAGGACUUGACGGUACCCCAUAUCCCCCUAGAGGAGCCUGUCCUAUAAUCGAUAAUCCCCGUUUAACCUCACCACUUUUAGCCUUUCAGUCUGUAUACCUCCGUCGUCAGCUUACCACAUGAGUGAAAUAUAGUAAGUUUAAUGUCCUAUUAUACGUCAAUACGUCAGGUCAAGGUGCAGCUAAUAAAGUGGGAAGAGAUGGGCUACACUCUCUAAUUUAGAAUAUACAAAAGACUACUAUGAAAACUAGUCUAAAGGUGGAUUUAGUAGUAAAAAAAGACCAAAGUGCUUUUUUUAACUAGGCCCUGGGGUGUGUACACACCGCCCGUCACCCUCUUCGCAGCCAUAAUUUAGUAAUUAACAAAGUUUGCACCGUAGAAGAGGYAAGUCGUAACAUGGUAAGUAUACCGGAAGGUGUGCUUGGAAACAAAUUGUAGCUUAAAUAAAGCAUCUCGCUUACACCGAGAAAAUGCCUGAUAAACCCGGGCCACUUUGAGCUAAAAAUCUAGCCCUCCACCUCUUCAAAAUAACCCUAUAACUUAUUAAAGUAAACAAAUCAUUUUCCCAAUCAAGUACAGGCGAUAAAAAAAUUAACUGGAGCUAUAAAACUAGUACCGUAAGGGAAAGCUGAAAUAUAAGUGAAAUAAACACUUAAGCCUAAAAAAGUAAAGACUACCCCUUGUACCUUUUGCAUCAUGGUUUAACUAGUCCUAAUCAAGCAGAAAGAAUUUAAGUUUGACCCCCCGAAACUAAGUGAGCUACUCCAAGGCAGCCUUAUGGGCCAACCCGUCUCUGUUGCAAAAGAGUGGGAAGACCUUAGAGUAGGGGUGAUAGACCAAACGAACUUAGUGAUAGCUGGUUACCCGAUAAAAGAAUUUUAGUUCUACCUAAAGCCCCCUUGUAAAUUUUAUAAACUAAUAUUUAUGCUUUAGAGUUAUUCAAAUAAGGUACAGCCUAUUUGAGUAAGGAAACAACCUAAACUAAUGGGUUAAUUCUGCUACAGUGUACCAAAGUGGGCCCAAAAGCAGCCACCUUAAACAAUAGCGUCAAAGCUUUUCUACACAAGCGCACUCAAUUUCUCAACCCAAUCUAAACCCUUUAUUCACAUCGAGUAAUUCUAUACACCUAUAGAAUAUAAAAUGUUAAAACUAGUAACAAGAAGAAAACCCUUCUCUUAGAUGUGAGUGUAAGCCAGAAAGGAUAAACCACUGUCAGUUAACACUAAUGACACUUAAUUAGCAACACCACAAGAAAACCCUAAUAAAACAAGUGUUAAACUAACACAAGAACAUUUCAAGAAAGAUUAAAAGAAAAAGAAGGAACUCGGCAAACACCAACCCCGCCUGUUUACCAAAAACAUCGCCUUUUGACAAAUAUAAGAGGUCCAGCCUGCCCAGUGACCUAGUUCAACGGCCGCGGUAUCCUAACCGUGCGAAGGUAGCGUAAUCACUUGUUCUUUAAAUGAGGACUAGUAUGAAUGGCAUCACGAGGGUUACACUGUCUCCUUUUUUUAAUCAGUGAAACUAAUUUUCCCGUGAAGAAGCGGGAAUUUUUUUAUAAGACGAGAAGACCCUAUGGAGCUUUAAACAAUUUAACACUUGCUGCCCAAAAUAUUCCUCCCAGGAGCACAAGAUACAGCAUAGCAUUAUGAUUAAUAGUUUUUGAUUGGGGUGAUCACGGAGUAAAAAAUAACCUCCAUGUCGAAAGGGCCCCUCCCUGAGCACAAAGCCACAACUUUAAGCACUGAAAAAUUAACGUUUAUUGACCCAAUAUGUUGAUCAACGAACCAAGUUACCCUAGGGAUAACAGCGCAAUCCACUUCAAGAGCCCCUAUCGACAAGUGGGUUUACGACCUCGAUGUUGGAUCAGGGUAUCCUAGUGGUGCAGCCGCUACUAACGGUUCGUUUGUUCAACGAUUAAAACCCU